Molecule: ribosomal RNA, 1066 nt
Filed under: uncultured bacterium
Lineage: Bacteria
Description: bacterial SSU rRNA
Rfam family: Bacterial small subunit ribosomal RNA
Source: RNAcentral
UGCGNGNCUACCGUGCAGUCGAACGGAUGUAAUCCUUCGGGAUUACGUUAGUGGCGGACGGGUGAGUAACGCGUGGAUAACCAACCGUAUAGAGGGGGAUAACACUGAGAAAUCAGUGCUAAUACCGCAUAAGCUUACAGCUUCGCAUGGAGCAGUAAGGAAAGAUUUAUCGCUAUACGACGGAUCCGCGUCUGAUUAGCUAGUUGGAGAGGUAGAGGCUCACCAAGGCGACGAUCAGUAGCCGACCUGAGAGGGUGAUCGGCCACAUUGGGACUGAGACACGGCCCAAACUCCUACGGGAGGCAGCAGUGGGGAAUAUUGCACAAUGGGCGCAAGCCUGAUGCAGCAACGCCGCGUGAAGGACGAAGGUCUUCGGAUUGUAAACUUCUAUCGAUGGGGACGAAAUAAAUGACGGUACCCAAGUAAGAAGCCCCGGCUAACUACGUGCCAGCAGCCGCGGUAAUACGUAGGGGGCAAGCGUUAUCCGGAAUUACUGGGUGUAAAGGGUGUGUAGGCGGUUAUAUAAGUCAUAUGUGAAAGACCAGUGCUCAACAUUGGGUGUGCAUAAGAAACUAUAUGACUAGAGUGCAGGAGAGGUAAGCGGAAUUCCUAGUGUAGCGGUGAAAUGCGUAGAUAUUAGGAAGAACACCGGUGGCGAAGGCGGCUUACUGGACUGAAAACUGACGCUGAGGCACGAAAGCGUGGGGAGCGAACAGGAUUAGAUACCCUGGUAGUCCACGCUGUAAACGAUGAGCGCUAGGUGUCGGCAAGAGAUUGUCGGUGCCGGAGCUAACGCAAUAAGCGCUCCACCUGGGGAGUACGUACGCAAGUAUGAAACUCAAAGGAAUUGACGGGGACCCGCACAAGCGGUGGAGUAUGUGGUUUAAUUNCGAAGCCACGCCGAAGAACCUUACCAAGGNCUUNGACAUGGAAAAUGACNCAUGUUANAAAUAUGUGUUNCCCUUCGGGGGCAUUUCCCCCCAGGUGGGUGCAUGGNUUGUCNUNCACCUCCNUGUCCGUGANAAUNUUUGGGNUUAAAGUCCCCNCCAACCGAGCGCCNACCCCU